UGGAACUAUUAUUUUUUCAGCUAAAACUGUCCUUCCUCUCAUAGGUGCUAAGAUCUUUAAACUAGCUGAGCCCAAAGACACAAGAAUAGAAAACAAAAGUUUUGUCAGGAGUUUGUUGGAGGUAACAUUGAGAAACGCCAUUCCAACUUCCACCCCUGAUCUUUGUUAUGGGCUGAAUUUUGUCCCCCUCAAAAAUUUAUGUGUGGAAGUUCUAACCCCCAGUGCUUCAGAAUGUGACUGUGUUUGAAAAUAGGUUUUUUACAGAGGAAUCAAGUUAAAAUGAAGUCAUUAACAUGGGCCCUGAUCCAGUACAACUGGUGUCCUUAUAAGAGGAGGAAAUUUGGACACAGACACAUAAAAAAGGCAGACGACGUGAAGACACGUAGAAAGGAUGGCCAUCUGCAGGCCAAUGAGAGAGAUCUGGAACAGAUCAUUCCCUCAUGUCACUCAGAAGGAACCAACUCUAUCGACACCUUGAUCUCAGACUUUUAGGCUCCGGAACCGUAAGAAAAUAAGUUUCUGUUGUUUAAGCCCCCCAUAUUUGAUAUUUUGUUAUGGAAACCUGAGCAGAUGAAUAUAAUAACCAACAUUAAAUUCCCGUUUCCUUAAAUGUUCCAAUUUUGGCAAGUGUUUCUGGUUCAAAUUCCUAUAUAGGCCAGUAUUAUUAGUUGCAGACAACAGUAUCUACUCUAGGUAGUUUAAACAGAAAGUGAUUAACUUUGGAGUAUUAAGUAGUGUAUCAAAUUGCCAGGAAGGCCAGGGAGCUAAAGUUUGGAUAUUAUACAAUUAGGAACAACAUAGUAUAAAGAAAUUCUAAACCACCUUGGACUGGUUUUAAUGGAAAAUUUCCUGUUGCCGUUGCUUGCUACCAGACAUCUAAGAUAUUAGCGACUUGAGAGUAGAACUUCAGCCACAGUUGCUCCAGGAGAUCCAAGUUCCUCUUCUCUUUGUUGGAAGGUCUGAUCUCCACAUGCAUCUGCUGCCUCCCAUUAUUUGGUUCUAUACUACAAGUCUCUAAAGGGUAUUUCUACAAGAGAAUCUGGGUGAUGGAGAUAUUAGUUUUCUGGUACAUGAAGGCAUAAACUAGAAAGAGCCGGAAGUGGGUGCUGAAUGGACCAAUUUGUAUCUAUUACAACUUCUACGGUCUAAUGAGAAAUAAUUGUGAAAACAUAAAGACGGAAGAUUCUGAGUCUGGUCUUUUGUUAGCUUGUUUGAAUACUCAAAAAGACCCUUUGUUUUGGAAAUGUAAUCCAGUUAUUAAAUGAGUCUCUGUUGGGAAACAAUCUAUUAUUCUAACUCCAUUCUAUGGGAGACACAAAAAAG
This 1323-nucleotide long non-coding RNA is filed under the name Equus caballus (horse). RNAcentral describes it as "lncRNA (ENSECAG00000044500.1)". The record is from RNAcentral. Lineage: Eukaryota; Metazoa; Chordata; Mammalia; Perissodactyla; Equidae.